UACGGGGGGGGCAAGCGUUAAUCGGAAUUACUGGGCGUAAAGCGUGCGCAGGCGGUUUGUUAAGUCCGCUGUGAAAUCCCCGAGCUCAACUUGGGAAUUGCAGUGGAUACUGGCAAGCUGGAGUAUGGUAGAGGAAGGUGGAAUUCCCGGUGUAGCAGUGAAAUGCGUAGAGAUCGGGAGGAACACCAGUGGCGAAGGCGGCCUUCUGGACCAAUACUGACGCUCAUGCACGAAAGCGUGGGGAGCAAACAGG
RNAcentral lists this ribosomal RNA (253 nucleotides) under uncultured bacterium. RNAcentral describes it as "partial 16S ribosomal RNA". It matches the Rfam family "Bacterial small subunit ribosomal RNA", at positions 524 to 776 of the family's 1533-position model. The record is from RNAcentral.